Long non-coding RNA from Micropterus dolomieu (smallmouth bass), 2014 nucleotides. RefSeq lists it as uncharacterized. The record is from RefSeq and is a predicted model, not a curated record. The transcript is spliced from 4 exons. NCBI's taxonomy places the organism in Eukaryota, Metazoa, Chordata, Actinopteri, Centrarchiformes, Centrarchidae.
CUGAGUGAACCAAUGCCGAUGCUUGUUUGCAUAUGACGUCACGUCACUGCGUUGCCAUGGCGCGAAAUGCAGAUGGAGGGCAGGAAGUGAUUUGCUACAUUUAGGAAGCACCAUAACAAACUGAAAAUGUCUGUUUGCGCCGUUUAUGGUUGGUUAAAUCGAUUAAACCGUGAAACCACGAGGAGUUUUGAUCGUUGUUGUUCAUAAAGGUGAAAAAUGCAACACCUACAAAAAUCUGGAGGAGCUGAAUCUGAAAAUGUGUGCAGUGAUCACUUCUUCAAAGGUGCUGUGCUGAAGUUUGUCAGUAGAUGUUGGAUCAUCAGCCAGUACAGAGUGCAGACCUUUGGAGCAGGUCCCACAGACCCAGGGCUAUAUUACUGAAGGCCUGCAAGAAAAAAAAAUGCUUGGGUGUCUGAGGUUUGUGCACCCCGUUGCCAGAGACAUCCAAUACAUGUCUUACGGAUAAAGGACCUGUAUGAUGUUGUUCUUCAAGGUGAUGCAGGACAAGAGGAUGAACCCUCUUCAGUACCAGACGAACCCCCAACUGGACCACGAAUGGCCCAACCAGAUCCCCAGGUAGAAGUGGCCUUACUUCAUCCCCCAGCAGCUCCAACUGGACCACCAAUGGUGACCCCAGAUCCCCAGGUAGCAACAUCCCUGCAAGAUCCCCCAACACACUCAGCUGGAGCACUGAAGGCCCUGUCUGGACCCCCAGCAGCCCUUAUUGGACCACCGAAGUCCCCAAACGCAUUGGCAGGAAGGCAUAAUGUGAAAAUGUUAAAAAGAUUCAGACUCUGGGCAUCCCUGCUUUCAAAAGAAAUGGGUAUAAAAAAAACUCUCGUCAAAUUCCAUAAACUGCUCCAUUUAGCUGUUAUCAUCACUUAAAUGACGCCUGUGUUUGCCCAUAUUUAGGAUUAGGCCUGUGCGAAAUGACUGCAUUUUAUUGGACGAUACAGAAAUGUCUAUUGUUUUAAAGUUAUGCUCUAUUGUUUAUUUCGUUCUGUCGCAAACGUGGAGCGUUCUGUUCUUCUUCUAUAUGUGCCGGUGUUGAAGGGAAGAAAUGCAGGAAUAAACAAACAUGAAGGAGAGUGAAGUUUCCUCAGAACUGGGUAAAUACUGCACAGAAGGACUCAGACCAUGAAAGCAAAAAUGAGGAGCUCGUUCCAAAAAGAGAACUGUGUUUUAUGGACAAACAACACUAUAAUUGUCAUGAUUUGUGUCAGUAAUGUUUAAUGACUCACCCACUGACAUUCAGCUUACUUGAUGAAGAUAUGCUGCUGUUGUGAUGUCAGCUGUAGCAGCUGUACUAUUACUAACAGUGUGUACUUUACUUAUACUGCGCUUGGAGCUUGUGCUACAGGAAGUGUCAUAUAAUGCCAUCUCUAAGGUAAAUAAGAUGAUGUCAAAUGGUGUAUAUAGCCAUUUAGCCAUAUGACCGCAGUAUAAACAUUAUAAAGUGUAAAGUAGUGGAAUGAGAGGAUGGACACUGGAGAUUUGCAGUACUUGAGGGCUGAAUAGAGCUGAGGGUCAGGGACAUGACCAGUAAAUCACACCAAUUCUCCUUUCACUUCACUGGCUUCCUGUUUCUGUGAGGAUUGAAUACAAGGUCACCCUUCUCACCCACCAGUGCAUCUAUGGAAAGAACUACUCACCCCUGUAACUACAACACGAUCCCUCCGCUCAGCAAACUCAAACUGCCUCCUUCUCCCCAGGACUGAGCUCAGCACCACGGGUGUUUUCUGUUCUGCCGCUCCUCGGAUCUGGAAUGCCCUCCCCGACCAUCUGAGGGCACCUCAGACUACUGAGACUUUCAAAAAAGGACCAAAAGCAUUUCUUUUUAGCAAAACGUAUGAGUUUUUAUCAACCCUGCCAAUUGAUUUAUUAUCUGUUUGUAUUUUAUAUUGAUGUUUUUAGCUUGCUUUUAAGAUUUUAUCUGUAGCAUUUUGAGAUUUGCUUCAAAUAUAAAGUGCAUUACAAAUAAAAUGUAUUAUUAAAUACUAUUAUUAGUCCAUAA